RNAcentral lists this ribosomal RNA (292 nucleotides) under uncultured bacterium. Its description in RNAcentral is "partial 16S ribosomal RNA". It matches the Rfam family "Bacterial small subunit ribosomal RNA", at positions 505 to 796 of the family's 1533-position model. The record is from RNAcentral.
GUGCCAGCAGCCGCGGUAAGACAGAGGUGCCGAGCGUUAGGCGGAAUCACUGGGCUUAAAGCGUGUGUAGGCGGAGUUCUAAGUACCUUGUGAAAUCCCACGGCUCAACCGUGGAACUGCUUGGUAUACUGGUUCUCUUGGGUCGUCUAGGGGCGAGCGGAACAAACGGUGGAGCGGUGAAAUGCGUAGAUAUCGUUUGGAACGCCAAUGGUGAAAACAGCUCGCUGGGGACGUACCGACGCUGAGACACGAAAGCCAGGGGAGCGAACGGGAUUAGAUACCCGUGUAGUCC